RNAcentral lists this non-coding RNA (113 nucleotides) under Kocuria palustris. RNAcentral describes it as "SAM-IV sequence". It matches the Rfam family "SAM (S-adenosyl methionine) riboswitch aptamer". Rfam says of the family: SAM-IV is a mRNA element that regulates gene expression via direct sensing of S-adenosylmethionine (SAM or AdoMet). SAM-IV riboswitches share conserved nucleotide positions with the previously described SAM-I riboswitches sequence analysis and molecular recognition experiments suggest that SAM-I and SAM-IV riboswitches share similar ligand binding sites, but have different scaffolds. The record is from RNAcentral. Lineage: Bacteria; Bacillati; Actinomycetota; Actinomycetes; Micrococcales; Micrococcaceae. RNAcentral also lists the same sequence under 1 other name.
GAUGACGAGAUCCGGCGCGAAGCUCUGGCUGGCCGGACGGCAACCCUCUCACCGUGGUGGGGUGCCCCAGAUGACCAUCCGGCUCCGGUUCCGCACCGCGGCAAGCACGGAUU